UGGGGAAUUUUGGACAAUGGGGGCAACCCUGAUCCAGCAAUGCCGCGUGUGUGAAGAAGGCCUUCGGGUUGUAAAGCACUUUUGUCCGGAAAGAAAACUUCGUCCCUAAUAUGGUGGGAGGAUGACGGUACCGGAAGAAUAAGCACCGGCUAACUACGUGCCAGCAGCCGCGGUAAUACGUAGGGUGCGAGCGUUAAUCGGAAUUACUGGGCGUAAAGCGUGCGCAGGCGGUCUGUUAAGACCGAUGUGAAAUCCCCGGGCUUAACCUGGGAACUGCAUUGGUGACUGGCAGGCUUUGAGUGUGGCAGAGGGGGGUAGAAUUCCACGUGUAGCAGUGAAAUGCGUAGAGAUGUGGAGGAAUACCGAUGGCGAAGGCAGCCCCCUGGGCCAACACUGACGCUCAUGCACGAAAGCGUGGGGAGCAAACAGGAUUAGAUACCCCUGUAGUCC
RNAcentral lists this ribosomal RNA (450 nucleotides) under uncultured bacterium. Its description in RNAcentral is "bacterial SSU rRNA". It matches the Rfam family "Bacterial small subunit ribosomal RNA", at positions 355 to 796 of the family's 1533-position model. The record is from RNAcentral.